This 328-nucleotide ribosomal RNA is filed under the name uncultured eukaryote. RNAcentral's name for it is "partial 18S ribosomal RNA". It matches the Rfam family "Eukaryotic small subunit ribosomal RNA", at positions 1470 to 1796 of the family's 1831-position model. The record is from RNAcentral.
CCCUUGGAUGCCCUGGGCCGCACGCGCGUUACACUGAUGCAUUCAACGAGCUUAUAACCUUGGCCGAGAGGCCUGGGCAAUCUUGUUAACGUGCAUCGUGAUAGGGAUAGAUUAUUGAAAUUAUUAAUCUUGAACGAGGAAUUCCUAGUAAACGCAGAUCAUCAAUCUGCAUUGAUUACGUCCCUGCCCUUUGUACACACCGCCCGUCGCACCUACCGAUUGGAUGGUCCGGUGAAGCCUCGGGAUUGUGGUUCUUGCCGCUUUAUUGUGGCGUGACCGCGAGAACUUGUCUAAACCUUAUCAUCUAGAGGAAGGUGAAGUCGUAACA